UACAAGUCCGCUAGAGGGAUGCAUCAUUUUUGCCUAAACAGAUGAUUUGAAGCAAGGUUAAAGCGUUAGACUAAAAGAGACCCUACUGUAUGAAGACAAUGAAAGAGCUUCCAUUUUAAUUUUAAUUUCAAUUGUUUCAUCUCACCAUUAAAGUCAUCAGCAACCAUCAUGUCAGUUAUAGAGAUCCUAGCCUUUAUAUUUGUAUUUGUAUUGUCAUGUGCUAUAUAUGCAGGAGUACCUCAAUGCUGCUGGCAUCAAUUUUUACAGCACUGGUGGCUAGGCAAAAGUAAAAUUCAGCGACUGCACAAUGCAUUCAAAAACAAGCACAUAGACUCAUUCAAUAACGCUUUAAUAAAAGGAAAUUUACCUCCCGGUAAAAAUCCAAAGAGCCUGACAAAGAAACAACAAGAAGAUUUAGAUGAGCAAUUCGCCAAAUAUUAUAAAAAAGAUCCUAAAAAAUUACCUGGUACUAUCACGAUUUUUUCAAGGAGACCAUCUUUUGACGAAUACAAGCAUUUUUUCAGUAACUGCUGGUACACCGAAAAUGAUGUUACAUUUUAUGACUACAAUCGAAAAGAGAGGAAAAUUUUCAAGCGUAAACAAAGAUUGUUUGUGGGUUUCGCACAUCUUGAAGGGAAACCAUUAGAAGUUCACGUGUUCGAUCAAAAUUGUUAUUGGUGGCUCCUGUUUUUGUACACGAAAUUCACGUUUUUCCUAAAUUUUAUAUGGUCCUGUAUCAAUAUGUUAUAUUCCCUAUCUAUACGCAUUUUAAGUAGAUGCCGAAGUUAGCCGAUGCAGUCAGUCAGUCAGUCAGUCGAUAAAAUUUCGACCAAGUCUAAGUCGAUACACUCGACUAUCGACUAAGUUGACUCAAUAGCAUGAGAUCAAAAAACAAUGUAUUCAGUUUCUGAAAGGCUGGGCAAAAUCAUAAAUUCGUUGAAAUUUCUGUAUUCUUCUCAAAAUAAAAACUGAAAACAGUGA
This is a non-coding RNA of Tetranychus urticae (two-spotted spider mite), 981 nucleotides long. The record is from RefSeq and is a predicted model, not a curated record. Lineage: Eukaryota; Metazoa; Arthropoda; Arachnida; Trombidiformes; Tetranychidae.